CAUUGGGUCUUGGUACUACAUGUACAGGAUAGGUGGGAGGCUUUGAAACCAGGACGCCAGUUUUGGCGGAGCCAUCCUUGGGAUACCCCCCUUGUAGUACUGGGACUCUAACCAUAGGCCAUGAAUCUGGUCUUGGGACACUGUCAGGUGGGCAGUUUGACUGGGGCGGUCGCCUCCCAAAAGGUAACGGAGGCGCUCAAAGG
RNAcentral lists this ribosomal RNA (203 nucleotides) under Clostridioides difficile. RNAcentral describes it as "partial 23S ribosomal RNA". It matches the Rfam family "Bacterial large subunit ribosomal RNA", at positions 2115 to 2316 of the family's 2925-position model. The record is from RNAcentral. Lineage: Bacteria; Bacillati; Bacillota; Clostridia; Peptostreptococcales; Peptostreptococcaceae.